CCUACGGGUGACUGCAGUAGGGAAUAUUGCUCAAUGGGGGAAACCCUGAAGCAGCAACGCCGCGUGGAGGAUGAAGGUUUUCGGAUUGUAAACUCCUUUUGUUAGAGAAGAUAAUGACGGUAUCUAACGAAUAAGCACCGGCUAACUCCGUGCCAGCAGCCGCGGUAAUACGGAGGGUGCAAGCGUUACUCGGAAUCACUGGGCGGAAAGAGCGAGUAGGCGAGAAAGCAAGUCAGAUGUGAAUUCCUAUGCCUUAACAAUAGAACUGCAUUUGAAACUGUUAUUUUAGAUAAUGGGAGAGGAAGGUGAACUCCUUGGGUAGAGGUGAAAAUCCGAAGAGAUAAAGAG
Molecule: ribosomal RNA, 348 nt
Filed under: uncultured bacterium
Lineage: Bacteria
Description: partial 16S ribosomal RNA
Rfam family: Bacterial small subunit ribosomal RNA
Source: RNAcentral